UCCGAAAUACCAGGCUCGAGCAGCCUUCUGAAGAGUUGUCGAAAAGUCAAUGCAUAAGAGGACAUCGAUUGCCUCCUAGAUCAUUAUGAAAGCCUUAUAGCUCUCGAAAUGAUCGAUUGGGUCAGUGAAGCCAUCGUAUGACUCCAUCUGCGGUAUCUUGAAUCGAGAGAGAAUCAGUUCAUCCAAGAUGUGUCGAGAGAAAGGCUGGACAGUGUGGAAGUCAUAGUCAUUGAAAGACUUCCGACCUUCUACCUAAAGUCGGAUGAGCUGGCAAUCAAUUUCUCUUAAC
Molecule: long non-coding RNA, 289 nt
Filed under: Elaeis guineensis (African oil palm)
Lineage: Eukaryota; Viridiplantae; Streptophyta; Magnoliopsida; Arecales; Arecaceae
Description: long non-coding RNA (EGUI_LNC016505)
Source: RNAcentral